This 245-nucleotide ribosomal RNA is filed under the name uncultured bacterium. Its description in RNAcentral is "partial 16S ribosomal RNA". It matches the Rfam family "Bacterial small subunit ribosomal RNA", at positions 524 to 768 of the family's 1533-position model. The record is from RNAcentral.
UACGAGAGGUGCAAGCGUUAUCCGGAAUCAUUGGGCGUAAAGCGUCCGCAGUCGGUUCGUUAAGUCCGGGGUGAAAUUACGGCGCCUACCGUCGUAAGCGUUCUGGAAACUGGCGAACUUGAGUAGAGGAGGGGCAGACGGAAUUCCUGUUGUAGGGGUAAAAUCCGUAGAUAACAGGAGGAACACCAAACGCGAAGGCAGUCUGCUGGCCUCUCACUGACGAUCAGGGACGAAAGCGUGGGGAG